GACGAACGCUGGCGGCGUGCCUAAUACAUGCAAGUCGAGCGAAGUUUUUCUGGUGCUUGCACUAGAAAAACUUAGCGGCGAACGGGUGAGUAACACGUAAAGAACCUGCCUCAUAGACUGGGACAACUAUUGGAAACGAUAGCUAAUACCGGAUAACAGUAUUUCUCGCAUGAGAGAUAUUUAAAAGUUGGUUAUGCUAACACUAUGAGAUGGCUUUGCGGUGCAUUAGCUAGUUGGUGGGGUAAAGGCCCACCAAGGCGACGAUGCAUAGCCGACCUGAGAGGGUGAUCGGCCACACUGGGACUGAGACACGGCCCAGACUCCUACGGGAGGCAGCAGUAGGGAAUCUUCAGCAAGGGGCGAAAGCCUGACGGAGCAACGCCGCGUGAGUGAAGAAGGAGUUCGGUUCGUAAAGCUCUGUUGUUAGGGAAGAAUGGAUAUGUAGUAACUAUACAUGUAAGAGACGGUACCUAACCAGAAAGCCACGGCUAACUACGUG
RNAcentral lists this ribosomal RNA (499 nucleotides) under uncultured bacterium. RNAcentral describes it as "partial 16S ribosomal RNA". It matches the Rfam family "Bacterial small subunit ribosomal RNA", at positions 28 to 507 of the family's 1533-position model. The record is from RNAcentral.